This 72-nucleotide transfer RNA is filed under the name Ictidomys tridecemlineatus (thirteen-lined ground squirrel). RNAcentral describes it as "Spermophilus tridecemlineatus (thirteen-lined ground squirrel) tRNA". It matches the Rfam family "tRNA". From Rfam's summary of the family: Transfer RNA (tRNA) molecules are approximately 80 nucleotides in length. The record is from Rfam by way of RNAcentral. Lineage: Eukaryota; Metazoa; Chordata; Mammalia; Rodentia; Sciuridae.
GGGGGAGUAGCUCAGUGGGAGAGCACUUGCCUAGUAGGCAAAAGGCUCUGGGUUCCAUCCCCAGCACCACAA